RNAcentral lists this ribosomal RNA (731 nucleotides) under uncultured Gammaproteobacteria bacterium. RNAcentral describes it as "bacterial SSU rRNA". It matches the Rfam family "Bacterial small subunit ribosomal RNA", at positions 137 to 864 of the family's 1533-position model. Lineage: Bacteria; Pseudomonadati; Pseudomonadota; Gammaproteobacteria. The record is from RNAcentral.
CGGGGGAUAGCCCGAGGAAACUCGGAUUAAUACCGCAUACGCCCUGAGGGGGAAAGGGGGCAAUUUAUUGCUCUCACUAUUGGAUGAGCCUGCGUAAGAUUAGCUUGUUGGUAGGGUAAUGGCCUACCAAGGCAACGAUCUUUAGCUGGUCUGAGAGGACGAUCAGCCACAUUGGGACUGAGACACGGCCCAGACAUCUACGGAUGGCAGCAGUUAAGAAUAUUGGACAAUGGGGGCAACCCUGAUCCAGGUAUACCGCGUGUGUGAAGAAGGCCCUAGGGUUGUAAAGCACUUUAAUCGGAGAAGAAGCAUUUUAAGUUAAUACCUUAAUAUGUUGACGUUAACUGAAGAAUAAGGACCGGCUAACUCCGUGCCAGCAGCCGCGGUAAUACGGAGGGUCCAAGCGUUAAUCGGAAUUACUGGGCGUAAAGCGCGCGUAGGCGGUUUAGCAAGUUGUAUGUGAAAGCCCUGGGCUCAACCUGGGAACUGCAUCCAAAACUACUAAGCUAGAGUACGAGAGAGGAGAGUAGAAUUUCUGGUGUAGCGGUGAAAUGCGUAGAUAUCAGAAGGAAUACCAAUGGCGAAGGCAGCUCUCUGGCUCGUCACUGACGCUGAGGUGCGAAAGCGUGGGUAGCAAACAGGAUUAGAUACCCUGGUAGUCCACGCCGUAAACGAUGACAACUAGCCGUUGGGCAGAUUUAACUGUUCAGUGGCACAGCUAACGCAUUAAG